AGAGUUUGAUCCUGGCUCAGAUUGAACGCUGGCGGCGUGCCUAACACAUGCAAGUCGAGCGGUAGCAGGUGUAGCAAUACAUGCUGACGAGCGGCGAACGGGUGAGUAAUGCUUCGGAAUCUACCCACGGGUGGGGAAUAACCAACCGAAAGGUUGGCUAAUACCGCAUAAGUCCUACGGGGGAAAGCGGGGGAUCGAAAGACCUCGCGCCGGUGGAUGAGCCGAAGCCGGAUUAGCUAGUUGGUGAGGUAAAGGCCCACCAAGGCGACGAUCGGUAGCUGGUCUGAGAGGACGACCAGCCACACUGGGACUGAGACACGGCCCAGACUCCUACGGGAGGCGAC
RNAcentral lists this ribosomal RNA (344 nucleotides) under uncultured prokaryote. RNAcentral describes it as "bacterial SSU rRNA". It matches the Rfam family "Bacterial small subunit ribosomal RNA", at positions 8 to 352 of the family's 1533-position model. The record is from RNAcentral.